UGUUACUUUCGGUGUAAAGGAUGUAUAACUGCUGGGCGACUACGUCUUAACGGGUAAAAGUCGAAGUGCUUGGCGGUUCAAGAAACCGGCCCCGUGAGACUUGACGGUUAAUCUGAUGAUCCGCAUUAUUCCUUACUUAGCCUUAAUGCUGGUGUAUGGUCGUCGAUAAGUUUAGGUUGUAAGACAGGAGGCUUGACCCAACGCGUUGGACGAAGUCAGAUCGUUAUGCCGCGAUGGUUAAGGCUUAGUUGAGUCACAUUGAAUAAAUUUUCGGAAUAUUUAUAGAAAUAUAGGUAGAAAGAAGGAAUGGGAAGUAAUAAAAAAAUAGUUUGUUUUUAUGAAUGGGGAUCUUUUGAGUGUACAAAUCGCCC
RNAcentral lists this ribosomal RNA (371 nucleotides) under Barbatia lacerata. RNAcentral's name for it is "partial 12S ribosomal RNA". It matches the Rfam family "Microsporidia small subunit ribosomal RNA", at positions 751 to 1197 of the family's 1311-position model. The record is from RNAcentral. Lineage: Eukaryota; Metazoa; Mollusca; Bivalvia; Arcoida; Arcidae.